This 242-nucleotide long non-coding RNA is filed under the name Homo sapiens (human). Its description in RNAcentral is "HSALNT0331569". Lineage: Eukaryota; Metazoa; Chordata; Mammalia; Primates; Hominidae. The record is from RNAcentral.
UGAAAACAAUUUUUGUUGCCCAUAAAAAGCACAGCUGGGCCGGGCGCGGUGGCUCACGCCUGUAAUCCCAGCGCUUUGGGAGGCGGAGGCGGGCGGAUCACGAGGUCAGGAGAUCUAGACCAUCCUGGCUAACACAGAGAAACCCUGUCUCUACUAAAAAUACAAAAAAAUUAGCCGGGCGUGGUAGUGGUUGCCUGUAGUCCCAGCUAUUCGGGAGGCUGAGGCAGGAGAAUGGCAUGAAC